AGUCCGAAACAGUCCUGUAUGUAGUUUUGUAAUGUCGGUUAAAAAGAGUUCUAUUUCGACGUCCGUAACCACAGCCAUUUGUUAGCGUUGAGAGAUGGUGACAGAAAGCUAGCCUCCCAGGUGAGGGGUGUUGGAAUGGCCCCAGCAGAUUUACCGGAGCUGUGGAAGAAACAUAUAUCUGGGGGUCAGAAGGCGUCGUACGGAAAGAAGGAAAAGAUGAAUCACUUCUAAAACAGCGGUAGAGUCUGCCUAUAUUUAAACUUAAAGACGAACUAGUCAAGGCAGUGACAGUCAACCAGGUAUUAAUCGUCAUUGGUGAGACGGGUUCAGGAAAGACAACUCAGAUCACACAGUAUCUCCAGUCUUCACGAAAACUUUUCAAACUAACUGGCCAGUCAGACCAGUGAACUUUCAAAAUUUACUGGCCCAACAAAUUUUUUACUGGCCCCUUAAUUAAAAAAUAAAAUAAUUACAUUUUCAUAACUGUAAAUCUAUACAUGUUUACGAACUUCAUUUUUUGAAAUGCUGCAAUAUUUCAUCCUUUGUCUCGUUUCGGUAAGUUGUUUGUUGGAAAUUCGCUCAUUUAACGUACAAGUUAAAAGUUACUAGCUAGUUGCGGUUGUUACGUAAUACAUCCAUGUUAUUAUAGGAUUGUAAUAAUACGAUUAAACAACACGUGCACGUGCUUCUUCUUUUUAUUUUAUAUAUCAAUUAAAUUAAUGCAAGUAAGUCACAUAAAAUGUAUAUUGACUGUGUAUGAUUUUUAUAAUCAACAAGCCCAUGGGACUUCUUGAAUUUUGAUUUUCACUGACCCGACCUCAAAAUUCACUGGGCUCGGUCUUCGGACCAGUGAGUUUUCUUGAAGACUGUAUCUCGCCGAGGCGGGUCGCCAAACGAGUCUCAGAGGAAUUUGGUUGUCGACUGGGACAGGAGGUUGGCUACACAAUUCGUUUUGAGUACUCUACGAGUCCCAAGACUAAGAUUAAAUACAUGACAGACGGUAUGAUGCUAAGGGAAUGCCUUAUUGAUGGUGAUCUAACUCAGUACAGCAUUAAAAUGUUAGACGAAGCUCAUGAGAGGACCAU
Long non-coding RNA from Saccostrea cuccullata (small rock oyster), 1085 nucleotides. RefSeq lists it as uncharacterized. Lineage: Eukaryota; Metazoa; Mollusca; Bivalvia; Ostreida; Ostreidae. The record is from RefSeq and is a predicted model, not a curated record. The transcript has 4 exons.